This is a long non-coding RNA of Bactrocera neohumeralis, 2238 nucleotides long. RefSeq lists it as uncharacterized. The record is from RefSeq and is a predicted model, not a curated record. NCBI's taxonomy places the organism in Eukaryota, Metazoa, Arthropoda, Insecta, Diptera, Tephritidae. The transcript is spliced from 7 exons.
GCCAUUAUUACGAACAAAGCGAUUAUAGUCGGCAUAGGAAUUGAUGAAUUUCGAAACAUUUUUUUGUAAUACACUUGUUGUGUUUUGAAGGCAGUGCUGAGAUUUUUGUGCAAAUGGCCAACGUUAGUCAGCAUUCGCUUUGACACCAAAUAAUUAACACAUGCGCAGUGCCACGAAUUGGAAGUGAGGGGCAUAAAGAAACGCAAAGUGAAGGAUUCGCAGCAAACACUACUUUGGACGUCACCGCGGAUUGUUAUUCAUUCAAUUAGUUAUGUGUUCUUAUUCUUUGUUUAUUUUUUAUUAAACAUUUAGUGCCCACAUUCAGGGGCUCGCAUUUGUAUGCUUUCUGCUCAGUUCAUUAUCUAAUGUACUCGAGCAAGAAGCUAGCUGCCGAUUUAGGUCGUCGUAGUGAGCCGAUAACGCACAGAAAUUAAUAUCUAAUUUUAAAGCAUUUGAUAUUUGCCCAUCCAUUCACAUCGAACCGUGAUUUUUUUGCUGUUAUAUUAUAGUUAUUAGCAGAUACAUACAUAUGUAUGUAUAUAUACUUAUGUAUUAAUAUAAUUACGGUGUUCACCAACCACGUGAGUUGUCGAAUUCAAUUUUGCUGUGAUUAUGAAAGUGAACAGGGAGUUCGAUUAAAAGGAAUUGUCGUUGAUUUCGUUUUUUUUCUAUACAAUAUUAAUGAGUGCCAGAAAUUGAUUAAUAAAUAAACACGUUCACAGAAGUACAAACAGCUGCAAAGGCACUACGCGACGUGCGUAUAAAUCGAAACUGAAAACUGUGCUUACUGCACUUUUAUUCGAACCAAGCAACGGCUCUCGGACCCACUCAGCCAUUCACACUCACGAGACUCCGCUUGCGUGCUGCAUAUAAACAAAAAUAAAACAUUUGUUCUCGCUUAUACAUACAUAUACACAAUUCAAUCUACGCACGUAGUAACAUAUUCGUCCAUAAAUGGUUGUGUGUUCAUUUGUGUAUAUAUCUAUGUACAUAUGUAUAUGUAUAAGUUGUAAGUUCAUUCUGUACACAAUGUAUAAACAAAACAAUAUGUUUAUACUUCGCGUAAAACAAACCGCACAAUCAAGCAACUCUCCGCACACUCAAUUGAAGUCGCAAGAGAAACUUCUCUCAGCCGUUAAGCUCGGGAGCACGGUCCUAACGCCUUUCCUCGUCGCCCCUUCGCCAACAAAAACCUGUUUGGACGACAAGGAAACCUUCGUGUGAACUCAGUCUCAGCAGCUGGAGAAGAGACUUUUUCAUAAAAAACUGAAAUUCACGACAUAUGGCGGUUGGAAGUAAAAUUGGUCAUCAUAGUUGUUCUCACUUUCAUUCACGCUUUUCAACGUUAUGGUCUCCGACGCUUCCUUCUGGGUGUUACAAACUUCGUGGCAAACUUAAUAUACCCUGUUCAGGGAAUAAUUAAGACAAGUCUGUGACGCUUGAAAGUCAGUCUAUUCUUUUGAGACUUCAAUGGAAAUGGUUAAGCUUGGACUCGACCAACAAGUUCCCUUUAGCAAUUCACAUACAUAUGUAUGUAUGUAUGUAUGUAUGUAUAGCUUUUUGUCUACCAACUCAUCAUUUACUCAUCAACAGUAGAUCACACGUAUGUAUAAAGACUUACGCCUGAUCAACGUAUACAAAUCGUUCAAUUUUAUUACCAAAAUUAUGUUCUGGAAUGAAUAUGUUUCGCUCGCUUCGUUCAACUUAUAGUCAACAUAAUCGGCCUACUGAGCAUACUAUUCGCAACACCGCAAGCCAUCUUGAGACCCAGAAUUCGUUAUUCGAUAAUAAUCGAACGAGUGAACCACGUCCAGUAUGCAGUGAAGAAAAUAUAGCAGUCGUAGAUGAAAGUGUAUAAGAAGACCGUAGAGAAGCGAUUCGGCGCCAUUUUUAGUAUACAGGAUGGAUAUUACAAUGGAUUUAUCGAGAGAACACUUCGGUGAGCAGAUAAUUUCACGUUUUGGGCCGGUCGAUUGGCCACCAAGGUCGUGUAAUCAUGUUAAAAUCUAAAGUCUAUGCAGACAAUCCCGCUUCGAUUCAGGUAUUGGAGUAAAACAUCAAUCGUGUCAUUCGCCAGUAACUAGUCGAAAUAUUGGAACGAGAUAUCGAAAAUUGGACUCAACGGAUGGACCAUCUGAGACGUAGCCGCGGCUAAUAUUUGAAAGAGAUAAUCUUCAAAUAAUAGAUGCCAAAUAAUAUUAUUUCGAACGAUAAUAGACAUUCCCCGUUAAAUUUGAA